RNAcentral lists this unclassified non-coding RNA (332 nucleotides) under Hevea brasiliensis (rubber tree). Lineage: Eukaryota; Viridiplantae; Streptophyta; Magnoliopsida; Malpighiales; Euphorbiaceae. The record is from RNAcentral.
CAGCAUCGAUCAUAGUGCUAUAUCUCGCAGAUAUAAUAAGGAGGCAUGGGAUAUGAAGGAAUGGUGUAUGACCACUCAGGAGGAGGCUGUGGUUUAGGCUCUUCUUUCUUUUCUUUUUCCUCCUUUACAUCGCUUAAGCUUACAAGCUCUGCAUACACCAUAGUGUUUGGUAACAAACAAGUUAAGAAAGGCCAUUUCGCUAACCUCUUCCUUAAUGAAGUCGUCACUUUCACUGGAUCUAUUCCUUCUCCUAUCACCUCUAGCUCGUUCUUAUCUUUCUCCCCUACAGCCGCGGAUUGCACUCCAUAAAUGCCGACUACAAUUCGCAGGGC